This is a non-coding RNA of Gymnothorax javanicus (giant moray), 75 nucleotides long. NCBI's taxonomy places the organism in Eukaryota, Metazoa, Chordata, Actinopteri, Anguilliformes, Muraenidae. The record is from the annotation of a GenBank genome assembly.
GCUGCACGGUGGUGCAGUGGUGAGCACCGCUGCCUCACAACAAGAAGGUUGUGUGUUCAAACCUGGCCUGGGGCC